CGGGGUAUAGCACAGUCUGGUAGUGUACCAUCUUGGGGUGAUGGAAGUCGUGGGUUCGAGUCCCGCUACCCCGA
RNAcentral lists this transfer RNA (74 nucleotides) under Pellia neesiana. RNAcentral describes it as "tRNA-Pro". It matches the Rfam family "tRNA". Rfam says of the family: Transfer RNA (tRNA) molecules are approximately 80 nucleotides in length. Their secondary structure includes four short double-helical elements and three loops (D, anti-codon, and T loops). The record is from RNAcentral. Lineage: Eukaryota; Viridiplantae; Streptophyta; Jungermanniopsida; Pelliales; Pelliaceae.